RNAcentral lists this ribosomal RNA (352 nucleotides) under uncultured bacterium. Its description in RNAcentral is "bacterial SSU rRNA". It matches the Rfam family "Bacterial small subunit ribosomal RNA", at positions 8 to 349 of the family's 1533-position model. The record is from RNAcentral.
AGAGUUUGAUCCUGGCUCAGGACGAACGCUGGCGGCGUGCCUAACACAUGCAAGUCGAACGGGGUUACACGAGGUGCUUGCACCAUGUGGAACCUAGUGGCGGACGGGUGAGUAACGCGUGAGCAACCUGCCUUUCAGAGGGGAUAACAACGGGAAACCGUUGCUAAUACCGCAUAAUACCGGAUGAUGGCAUCAUUGACCGGUCAAAGGAGCAAUCCGCUGAAAGAUGGGCUCGCGUCCCAUUAGGUAGUUGGUGGGGUAAAGCCUACCGAAGCCGACGAUGGGUAGCCGGACUGAGAGGUUGAUCGGCCACAUUGGAACUGAGACACGGUCCAAACUCCGUACGGGAGCA